RNAcentral lists this ribosomal RNA (433 nucleotides) under uncultured bacterium. RNAcentral's name for it is "partial 16S ribosomal RNA". It matches the Rfam family "Bacterial small subunit ribosomal RNA", at positions 29 to 507 of the family's 1533-position model. The record is from RNAcentral.
AACGAACGCUGGCGGCAGGCCUAACACAUGCAAGUCGAGCGAGGACUUCGGUUCUAGCGGCGGACGGGUGAGUAACGCGUGGGAAUGUGCCCUUCUCUACGGAAUAGCCCUGGGAAACUGGGAGUAAUACCGUAUACGCCCUAUUGGGGAAAGAUUUAUCGGAGAAGGAUCAGCCCGCGUUGGAUUAGGUAGUUGGUGGGGUAAUGGCCUACCAAGCCGACGAUCCAUAGCUGGUUUGAGAGGAUGAUCAGCCACACUGGAACUGAGACACGGCCCAGACUCCUACGGGAGGCAGCAGUGGGGAAUCUUAGACAAUGGGGGCAACCCUGAUCUAGCCAUGCCGCGUGAGUGAUGAAGGCCUUAGGGUUGUAAAGCUCUUUCAGCUGGGAAGAUAAUGACGGUACCAGCAGAAGAAGCCCCGGCUAACUCCGUG